GAGCUAAGAUCUUGUAGCUAGUUCAAUGUUGUUGUGGUAUUUUAUAAGUACAACAAUGAAUACAUUUUCAUUCAUUUGUUAAUUUAAAUAAUUAGAAUUCCGCCAGUAAAUCUUAGUGGAUUGAACUUGAUAUACUCAAUUAUCAGUGUUUGAUUAUGAUCUAAAUAAGUGUCUUUUAUUUUCUUCAGAUUUCAUUUGUUACAUAUUCUAUCUCUUUUGCAGAUAUCGCCUAUGGCCUUGCCCAUACUCUCUGGCGUAUUGAACAUAUCUCGUUCCUUCCCAUCGGUUUCGUUCGUUACAAACUCAAUCUCUAUUCGGAAUCAGGGAACCACUACCUUGAUGUGGUGGUGCGCUUUCUCUUGGACAUCGUGCUUCAGUGCAUGGUUGUGAAAUUCAUCUUGGGGGCCCCAUGCGUGAUGACGUUGCUAAUACGCAAAUGGAAGAGAAUACACUUAGCAAUGGAUCAAAAUGUUGAAGAAUUUUUGCAAUCCAACAAUAA
This is an RNA transcript of Eucalyptus grandis, 499 nucleotides long. RefSeq lists it as uncharacterized. Lineage: Eukaryota; Viridiplantae; Streptophyta; Magnoliopsida; Myrtales; Myrtaceae. The transcript has 3 exons. The record is from RefSeq and is a predicted model, not a curated record.